Molecule: ribosomal RNA, 301 nt
Filed under: uncultured bacterium
Lineage: Bacteria
Description: partial 16S ribosomal RNA
Rfam family: Bacterial small subunit ribosomal RNA
Source: RNAcentral
CAGUCGCCGCGGUAAUACGUAGGUGGCAAGCGUUGUCCGGAAUUAUUGGGCGUAAAGCGCGCGCAGGCGGCCUCUUAAGUCUGAUGUGAAAGCCCCCGGCUCAACCGGGGAGGGCCAUUGGAAACUGGGAGGCUUGAGUAUAGGAGAGAAGAGUGGAAUUCCACGUGUAGCGGUGAAAUGCGUAGAGAUGUGGAGGAACACCAGUGGCGAAGGCGACUCUUUGGCCUAUAACUGACGCUGAGGCGCGAAAGCGUGGGGAGCAAACAGGAUUAGAUACCCCUGUAGUCCCUGUCUCUUAUAA